RNAcentral lists this ribosomal RNA (468 nucleotides) under uncultured bacterium. RNAcentral's name for it is "partial 16S ribosomal RNA". It matches the Rfam family "Bacterial small subunit ribosomal RNA", at positions 28 to 507 of the family's 1533-position model. The record is from RNAcentral.
GACGAACGCUGGCGGCGUGCUUAACACAUGCAAGUCGAACGGAAAGGCCCUGCUUUUGUGGGGUGCUCGAGUGGCGAACGGGUGAGUAACACGUGAGUAACCUGCCCUUGACUUUGGGAUAACUUCAGGAAACUGGGGCUAAUACCGGAUAGGAGCUCCUGCUGCAUGGUGGGGGUUGGAAAGUUUCGGCGGGUGGGGAUGGACUCGCGGCUUAUCAGCUUGUUGGUGGGGUAGUGGCUUACCAAGGCUUUGACGGGUAGCCGGCCUGAGAGGGUGACCGGCCACAUUGGGACGGAGGUACGGGCCAGACUCCUACGGGAGGCAGCAGUGGGGAAUAUUGCCCAAUGGGCGGAAGCCUGAUGCAGCAACGCCGCGGGCGGGAAGACGGCCUUCGGGUUGUAAACCGCUUUCGCCUGUGACGAAGCGUGAGUGACGGUAAUGGGUAAAGAAGCACCGGCUAACUACGUG